GCAGGAAGAAGAGAUGGAACUGGUAAAGGCAGCCUUGGCAGAAGCCCUUCGCCUGCUGCGGCUGCACGGCCCCACCACAACCUUGCAGGGCUCCGGCAUAUCAGCUCCAACAAGGAACAGCAUUACAGUCCCCCCAGGACUGCCACCUACGUGCAGCCCUUCCUUGGUGAGCCGAGGCACGCAAACAGAGGGAGGAUUGGAGAUGGAGCCAAUCUCUGGACCGCCUGGCCUGAGCAAUGGGCCUCCAGCUCUUCAGGGGGGCAGUGAAGAGCCUAGCGGGACCCAGUCUGAAGGAGGGUGCAGCAGCAGCAGUGGGGCAGGCUCCCCUGGACCCCCAGGAAUCCUCAGGCCUGUGCAGCCCCUGCAGCGUUCUGACACGCCCCGAAGAAAUUCCUCCUCCUCCUCCUCCCCCUCAGAGCGGCCCAGGCAGAAACUCUCCAGGAAGGCAGCUUCCUCAGCCAACCUGCUAUUGCGGUCAGGGAGCACAGAGAGGUGGGUAAGCCUUCUCUUCCCCGUCAAACUUGCUGUACCCCAGGCUUGACUUCUUGACUUUCUCCAUUCCUGGGUGGGGUGGGUGACCUCAUUACCCAACAGGAAGAAAGAAACAAAGCUUUCCUUGGGACUCCUGCAGUGUUCUGGGGCCUGUGCUAAAACUCUCCUCCAAGUCAUUAAGGCCCUGUAACAUCUUCGGUGAAUGGAUGGUCUCU
This 707-nucleotide long non-coding RNA is filed under the name Rattus norvegicus (Norway rat). Its description in RNAcentral is "long non-coding RNA NONRATT001515". Lineage: Eukaryota; Metazoa; Chordata; Mammalia; Rodentia; Muridae. The record is from RNAcentral.